This 593-nucleotide ribosomal RNA is filed under the name Apiognomonioides supraseptata. Its description in RNAcentral is "LSU rRNA". It matches the Rfam family "Eukaryotic large subunit ribosomal RNA", at positions 13 to 629 of the family's 3401-position model. The record is from RNAcentral. Lineage: Eukaryota; Fungi; Ascomycota; Sordariomycetes; Diaporthales; Tubakiaceae.
AGGUAGGAAUACCCGCUGAACUUUAAGCAUAUCAAUAAGCGAGGAAAAGAAACCAACAGGGAUUGCCCUAGUAACGGCGAGUAAGCGGCAACAGCUCAAAUUUGAAAUCUGGCUUCGGCCCGAGUUGUAAUUUGCAGAGGAUGCUUUUGGUGCGGUGCCUUCCGAGUUCCCUGGAACGGGACGCCACAGAGGGUGAGAGCCCCGUAUGGUCGGACACCAAUCCUGUGUAAAGCUCCUUCGACGAGUCGAGUAGUUUGGGAAUGCUGCUCUAAAUGGGAGGUAAAUCUCUUCUAAAGCUAAAUACCGGCCAGAGACCGAUAGCGCACAAGUAGAGUGAUCGAAAGAUGAAAAGCACCUUGAAAAGGGGGUUAAACAGUACGUGAAAUUGUUGAAAGGGAAGCACUUGUGACCAGACUUGGGCCGGGCGGCUCAUCAGGGGUUCUCCCCUGUGCACUCCGCCCGGUACAGGCCAGCAUCGGUUCUUGCCGGGGGAUAAGAACGGUAGGAACGUGGCUCCCCCUCGGGGGAGUGUUAUAGCCUGCCGUACGAUACCCUGGCGGGGACCGAGGUUCGCGCUUCCGCAAGGAUGCUGG